RNAcentral lists this ribosomal RNA (244 nucleotides) under Virgibacillus pantothenticus. RNAcentral describes it as "partial 16S ribosomal RNA". It matches the Rfam family "Bacterial small subunit ribosomal RNA", at positions 1 to 219 of the family's 1533-position model. Lineage: Bacteria; Bacillati; Bacillota; Bacilli; Caryophanales; Bacillaceae. The record is from RNAcentral.
UUUAUGGAGAGUUUGAUCUUGGCUCAGGACGAACGCUGGCGGCGUGCCUAAUACAUGCAAGUCGAGCGCGGGAAGCAAGCAGAUCUCCUUCGGGGGUGACGCUUGUGGAACGAGCGGCGGACGGGUGAGUAACACGUGGGCAACCUACCUGUAAGACUGGGAUAACUCCGGGAAACCGGGGCUAAUACCGGAUGAUACAUAUCGUCGCAUGACGAGAUGUUGAAAGGCGGCAUAUGCUGUCACU